GAGAAAAGCUUUCUUUCAAACUCCUCUCAAAGCUCAUGUACCUCGAGGGUUUUUUUCAUCUGCUUCAGGUCACUUCCCAGUGCCUUCAAAUAAUUAUUGUUUCAAUUUUGUCUGAAGUUCAGCAGCAGGAAGACUAGUGAAACAAAAUUUCUCUGGAAGCUGGACGUCCUGGGCCAAGUUUAUUUAACCUGAAGUGGUGCCAGGUGAGACUUCGUCAGCACUGGGGUGGAUUAUGCAAUCCCAGGGCAAUGCCCAGAACAGCACAGCUUCAGAACUGACCCAAAGAAGACUUUGCCAGGUCUUUUCUUCCAGCUCCUCGUUGUUCUCUUCUCAAUGCCCAGUGCUGGGAAAGGACUAGCGCGUUCCCCAGGAAAUGAGGAACGGGGAAAGAUGUGUUGUAUGUAAAGGAAGCAAAACCUUCAAAGACACAGAUCCUAAAACAUAUCCCCAGUUGACGCUGCUCAAAGCUCCCAGACGUCCCAAGAACAAGACGAGGUACCUGGGUACACCAGCACCACAAGGGACCCACAGGCUUGUCGCGCGGCAAUAGCUGACUGUCACGAGCAGCGUCCCUGGGAAUCCGUUGCGGCACCAGAGAAAGAUGAUGCAGAAGAAGAGCGUAACAAAAAGUCCGGAACCCAAGCUGCCACCCGUCCAAACCUCCCGACAGAAAGGCGGGGAUAUUCACGCGUGUCCGUGGCCCGAGUGCGGCCGUGCAACCUUACAGGCUGGCCCUACUCAAGCUCUCGGCUCUAACUACCAAUAACCAGAGCUGCCACUUACUGGGCCUCUGAUGUGGGCUCAGACUACAGCGAACCCCGUAAAUACUUCGGGAGAAUGCCUUCUGGGGAGACCAGGACGGCUGGCUCGGUGCUCAGCCUGACGAGGGCGUGGGUGCAGGCCGCGUCCCCUCCCCGCUUGCGCCCUGGGGGCUGAGCACGUCUGAGUGCCCCCCACGACUCCAGGCUGUGCAGGGGCUCAACAGGUGCCACUUUCCCUCCUUGUCAUUCACCAGCCUGACCCUUUCCCGGGAAGAGGCAGCAAAAAUGAAGCCAUAAACAGGAAGCCUCGCUGUGAGGUCAGCCAUCCACGGCCCCGGGGUCAGGGACAAGGUUGUGCCAGGCCACU
This 1128-nucleotide long non-coding RNA is filed under the name Canis lupus familiaris (dog). Its description in RNAcentral is "lncRNA (ENSCAFG00040012788.1)". Lineage: Eukaryota; Metazoa; Chordata; Mammalia; Carnivora; Canidae. The record is from RNAcentral.